Hippoglossus stenolepis (Pacific halibut) is the source of this 9319-nucleotide long non-coding RNA. RefSeq lists it as uncharacterized. The transcript is spliced from 2 exons. NCBI's taxonomy places the organism in Eukaryota, Metazoa, Chordata, Actinopteri, Pleuronectiformes, Pleuronectidae. The record is from RefSeq and is a predicted model, not a curated record.
UUUAAAGUGCCUCUCUCUUUUAUCUGCGGCCAAUGAGAAUUACGCACGACUGUGAUUUGGCUACUGCGAUGUCGUGCGCAGUUUCCAACGUUACCCGGAAAUAAGCGAGGUAUUUUGCUCUCAGCUGUUUCCUUGUAAAAAAAACAAAACGCGUCUGUGCGCAUUUGUGGCUCAUUUUUUCUCCGGAGCCAGAGAGAGGGAUGGAGUGAUAGAUGGAGGGAUGGAGUGAUAGAUGGAGGGAUGGAGAGAUGGCGGUGCGUGCCGCAGGAGGAUGUUGCGCACUUCGUUUUUACCUCUGGAGUGAGUGACCCGGUUGCUGCGUAAUGGUUUUAAUGUGCGUGGUACCUGCGCUUGUCGUCGAUGUUUACCUCAGCUUCACUUGUUUUGUGAUGAAGACUCGUUUAUUGGCUUCGUCCCUUUAACGUCUCAAUUACAAGGAGCAGGAAAAGAAGUUGGAUUAAGUUACAGGUACUUUAAAUUAGUGUACUUUAAAAAAACAAAACAAAAGGAAUCUGUAUGUUUCUGCUUUUGUUCUGGAUAUGUAUAUGUACAUAUAUAUACAUACUACUUACUUUUAAAUCGUGUCAUUAUUAUACUUGUCAGUAUCCUGCUGUGUAUAAUGUCCCUGCUAAAUAUUCAGUUUUUUUAACAAGAACAUAUUUAAAGAAAUGUAAAAAUAAGUUACCACUUCAUUCAAGAAUCUUUUGCUGUGUGAAGACCUGAAGUUAAUAUUAUGUAAGAUUGUUUUCCCUCGUUGUUCCGUUUGCAGAAAUAUUUUUCCCUUCUAUGAGUUUGAAUUUUUCUUAAACAUAUUGUUAUAAUCAGUGUUAUUGAUUCCUCCUCAGUCUGGUUUUUAUUGUUUGGAAAGCUGUGGUGUCUGCGCCUCCUGCGCCUGCGCCUCGACUCGGCUCCAUCCAGAGGUUUCUAUGUCAUACGCACUUUUUAUUCCUGAUGUAAACAAACCCUCUGAAGAGUAAUUCCCUCUUCCGACACAGGGCGGCGUGCUCGUGAAGGUUUGACGCACAGAGCAUGAGGUAUCAGAAAACAUUGUUGUUGGAAUGAGUCAGAUUUAUUUUUCCAGGGAAAGAACAUCUACCGUAAACGAGAAUGAGUUUUCUCUUUUUUUUUAAUUCCCAGUAACUCUGUCCACAGGAGGAUUGACACAUCUGUUGUUGUCUCACAUCUCCACGUUUGGAUUUGCAUGUUUGAGACGCACAGAAAUGAACGUAUUAGAGAAUCUGACAAAACCACAGAGUCCAGAUUAGACUCUUUCUUCUUCCUCUCCAGAUAAAUAUUGCUGUUCUCGUUUUUUUUUUUUUUUCUACAGAGGGAAAUGAGGUGCUGCUUUAGACUCUCGCUCUCUCUCUCUCUCUCGAAGGUAAGAGCCAGUGCACGUCAUGGAAAACCAGCGAUAUUUACCGUACAAGAAAUGGUACAACAGCUCACUGUUUAUAUCAUUUGAAAACUUUAUAUCCAAGGUGUGGCCAGUUGUCAAAGUGUCACAAUUAAACUAAAUCAAAUUAGUUUAUUUUUAUGUUUGAAAUGUCCUGAAAUAAUAAUAAUAAUAAUACCUGGGAUUUUCUCAGGACCUGCUGCGACGUCUCUUCCUUCUCAGUCGACACGACCACGAGCUGAAGACGUGGCCCCUGCAGAUCGGGGCUCCGUUGGCCAAAUUGCAUUAGAAAUGAAAACUCAUCCGAUCAAGGUACGUGAAGAAUCAAAUGAAACUGCAAAGGCCCAAAUUCUUAAAAUAAACUCUGCUAAUGUUUGACUGAACCAAAACAGACUAUUUAUAAGACAGCGACACAGUCAUUUUAAAGACACAGCAACUUCCCUCUAACAUUUCAUACAAUACAAAGUGUUGUACAAUCACGUAAUAGUUAACAGUUAAUGUUUUUCAUAUUCUCGUCAUUUUAUAAGAUUUGUGACAUUUUAGAAUCAGACAGUCGUGUUAUUUUGAGUAGAGAUAGAGGAUUGAACUGGUAUUUGUCUCCUUUGGAUGAGGUCUGAGGCAGGAAACAACAAGAACUGAAAGAGGAAGAACAUGUGGUCGGCCUAUUCAUGGUAAAUCUCCUCACACGCUUUGUUCUUUUCUAUGCUAGUUCUAUUCAGGAAGUAAAAAGUACUAACACUGAAUGAGAAGCAGAAUGCAGAAAUCACUGUAUCAACCAUCAUAUGUUUGUUUUUUUUUUAACAAAAGACAACGUAUAUGUUUAUAGAUAAGUAUUUCUUCCGGUGGAGCUUUAGAGAUGAGCGGAGUCUCUCGUUAGACAGUAUUUGAAAAGCCAAAACACCAUCUGAGCGCUUAUGCAACUGAUACAUAAGCUGGUGAUGUGCCUUUAAAACCAGUGGGUUGUCAGGUGAUCGAGGAGGCUCAGUCAGCUCAGCCUCGCAGACAGAGGAGCCAGAGUGUGUCUCUCGCAGAGAGGAGGGCAGCGGAGAGGCAGUGAGACCAAUUAUCAGGGGACAUGGGGGGGAAAUGGGGACACAGCAGCGUCACAGAGUGGGGGACAGGGAGCCGUGGUGGUAGGGUCCCUUUUACUGCAGUCUGCUCAUGCUGUCUUCCCUUGUGUGGCUGCGAGCAAGUGUGUUUCUGCCUCAGCUUGAUCAUUACGCUGUGUUGUGCAGCCACAACACUGGUAUAAAAGCGCAGAGAAUUAAGUGCUGCGUCACACUCAGGAAGAGGAAUAGCGUGAUCAUGCGCGCGUGUGCACGGCUGUGCGUGCAUGCGCACGUACAUAUGCAUUUCUGUGUGGUCUGCUCCAUUUCUGUGUCUAUGUGCUAGUUCGAAGCAGCUGUGUUAAUGGCUGAUCUGCAACCAGAUGAAAAUAAAGAGUGCGUGUGUUUGAGAGGUAAGCAGAAAGCGAGAGGGGGAGACAGAGAGACCGAGGGAGGGAGAGGGAGGGAGAGAGAGAGAGAGAGAUUUUGGAUUAGUUGCUACGUCACUUUUUCAUGUUGGGAGAAACAGAAGCUGAGAUAGCAGAAGCCCAGAGUCAUGGAGUUUUCCACCUGAAGUGGACACAGUGGUUUCGGACAAGCCUGGCUUUCUCCUCUUCCUCUUCCUCCUUGGUAGUUCUGAUCUGCUCUGCCUCUCGCUACUAUAUAUAUAUGUGUGUCUGUGUCUCUGUGUGUGUGUGUGUGUGUCUCUGUGUGUGUGUGCGCAGUGUAGUUCCUGUGUGAGCUGGUAUUGGGAGUUUCAACAUGGAUGCUGAAGAUGGCACAGUGUCUCUAGAUCUUGUUGUGUUGGCGUGUUGGGUGGGCUGCGGUGCGACAAAGGGGUUAACAAAAAGAAUAUUCUGGAGGAUUCUUAAUACCACAGCGAAGCUCAGUCAGGAAUGUUUUGCCGAGAAUUAUCAAGGUAUUCAAACAUCUCUUCUGUCUUUUUUUGCCACCGUCACAACACGGAAUAGAGAUGAUUACAUCGGUGUAAAUAGGUGAAUACAUUCAUGCAUGGUGUCGCAUGACCUAUUAGGAAACAGUGUUAUAUGCUUGACACAGCGUUAUAUGGGAGUGGGCACCGAUGCAGCCGUGUGUACACAACAGCUGCCAUCAAAUCAAAUUACAGGAUAAGUUCGUUGCUGUAUUCAGCGAAAAUACUGAUGUUUGAUUUAAAUCUCGAAUAUUCUGUAAAUGUCUCUCUGUCGGGGCUGUCGACGACUACUUGUUGUAGUUAACUCUUGAUGGAGUUGAUGGGAGAAGUGAGCCUGCAUGCUUGUAUGACUGGUUGGGUUCUGUAUGUUAUCGGACAACAGAUCCGCUCGGUGUCUGUGGCUAGUGGCACUUUUGUCAUGUGAUUUGUUUUCGCUCCUCUGGGCCACUGGGAUUUGGCAAAGCCCUUCCCGAGACACAUUUGUUUCUGCGUAGUAAGGAGAGACAGAGACGGUGACGCAGUCAUCUCUGGGCUGGAUUUCUCCUCCACCAGUACGCAGCAGCUUGUACCUCUCCCUCUCUUUCUCUCUAUCUGUUUAUCUAUCCAUCCAUUGCUCUCCGAGAGAAGGGGAGUGAUGGAAAAAGGGCUAAAUGUCACGGCUAAGGACCCGAGGUAGAGAAACUGAGAUAGAGAGAAAAAGAGGGGGAGAAAGAGAGAAGUUGUUUACCUUGCUCUCUUGGUGACUUUGCUUUGGCGUCUCUCCAGUUCACAUGCACUGGACUUCCUAAAGCCGCAGCAUCACAGGCCAUCGUGCCAAAGCUGGAUUCUCAUUGGAUGGGAGGAGCUCCCCUGGCUCCACAAGCUGCACAGCAGCACUUUAUUGGCUUAGUGCAAGCGAGCAGCCGGAGGUCAAAAUCUGAUUGGUUAAGAGGCGCCUUUAUUUUAUACACAGCUUGCGCAGAAACACUGUUCCAUGGAUACAAGUCUGUUUAGUAUGAGAUGACUUGUUGGUCAUUGUUAACAUGGUAACAUGUAUUUCCUACGAGAUUCCAGAGCUGAGGAAUCAGAGUUGUCACUGAUGUUUUGUUGGGGACAUCCCUGCCAGUGUUUGUGGCGUUUGUGAAGUUAUUAUCAUACAUUCAUCGAUCAGCAGAUUUCUCUCUGUACCUUAGUAACAGUGUUUUACAGGUAACUUAAUUUUCUAAUCAUUUCUCUGGAUCUUUGUUUGAAAGAGCUACGAAAUGGGUCAUAAUAACAAGGAAAUUCAAGCAAUUAUUUCAGUGUAAUUAGUUAUUUAAUUAGUGUAUAAGAAUAUGUUGAUUUCCACAUAGUAAAUAUCUUUUUUAAUUUGUUUGCCAAUUUCAUUCUGCAUGUGUAGACAAGUUCCACAUGACCUGCCGUGCGUUGAUCUCAGGAUUCUGUAGCCUGCAGCAGCAAGAAACCCUGAAUUAAUUAAUUGGAAGUGGACCAGAAAUACAGUCUCCAUUUGACUAAACACUAGGUGGAGCUUUUAAGAGCAGCUGUGUGAAUAUUGGCUUCUAUUUAUUGAUUUUAACAUCGUUUUAAGCCAAGACAUACAUGGAUAUUUAAAAUAUUUGAUAAUCCAAUUGCCAAGUCCAUUUCCCCCCCCCGAGAUAAAUUCCCCGUCCAGAAACCGGACAACAUAUCAGUUUCUUUUCGUGGAAAUCGAUGUGAACUGUGCGAGCUGUGAAACUUCCUGCUCACCCUGGACUCAGGGCUGCUCGGCUUCUCCUUCACAGCAGGACCGUGUCUGUUGAAGGUGGCGACCGCACGAGGGACUGAAAUCCCCCGGUCGAGAGCGAGCUCUUCUUAUUCUGCUGGCUGGAGGUCCGGCGUCCGAGAGACGCCACGUUUCUGAGAUGAUGCAAGAGAGCGUGUGUGGCUGCGCGUGGUCUGCAUUGCAGCUCCCGCUUCCACAGUCAGCGUCUCUCUCUCUCUCCCCCCCCCUCUCUCUCGCUCUCACUCGCUCUCUCUCAUAAAUGCGCUGAUGGUAUAACAAACGCUUUACUGAGGCUGCGUAUUUAUGAUUGUAGAAACGCAGGUUCCUUUUAUCAGCGCGGAAGCUGAUACUGUCCCAGUCACCUCACCACUACGGGGGGGGGGGCAUUUCUUAUGAAUUAGUGAAGACUGGUUCGUCUGCUCGUCUGAGGCCACACACACAUCAACACAAAGCGUAAAGGUGACGCACCGUUAGAGAGACAAAUGCAUCGUUCCAGCGUCACGUCUUUUUUAAAUAAGCUGUAUUUUAACUCUGUACAGUAUUUACAGCAUUGAUUAGUAACAUAAUUGAAAAAAUGGGUCAAUGUUUAAAGUGUUUGUACACAAGAAAACGUCAUAUCAUGCAUAUUUCAGGUGUUAAAAUCCGUUUUGUUUCAAUAGUCUGUGUUUAAAACGACGGACGCCUGUGACGACGUGGCCCUCGUGAGUUUCCCCAGGGUGCGUCACACUCUCUCUCCGAAGGCCGCCUGUCCCUUUAAAUCUUUCAUAAGCAUUACACAACAGGUCCAGUGGCACACAAGCAACAAACAGCCCAAAUAAAGAAAAUUGACGGGGUUGGGUUGAGCCAGCCGAAGGAACCAGACACCUACAGAUAGACAGGCUCUCUGAUCAAAACCGUCACUGUGGAUACCGUGCAAACACACACACGCGCACACUUAUAUUGCCUUACACGCCCUCACACACAAACACAACUUGCAAAAGCUGUGGGGAUUUUGUCCUUCCUCCCGUCUGAUCUGGCUCCAGGGAGGUUAAAAGACGAGUGUGGCGGAGAAGCGAAGGCAGACUGUGUGUGUGGGCGCAUGUGUUCUGAAGGGAUGAGGGUUUGAAGACAGGCGUCAGUGGGAGAAAGGAUUUUACAAUCGAUUGGGUGGUUUUGUACUUUGUUGAAACACUUGGCAACAUGUCAGUGAACUGGUCACUACCUGUCCCUGCCCCACCCCGUCAGCGUAUUACUGCUGCGUGUCUGCACCAUGGCUCCCACUGCCAGCGAUUGACUGCCACUUCCUUGCUCUUCCCUUCUCGUCGAUCGGAGUGCGAACGCAUCCCCGACCAUUCUACCAGGCAACGAGAGAGGAGAGGACUCAUCGAGGUCCCUGCUGCAGCUGCAGGUGAGCGCUCGCGUUCGAAGACGCACAGCGACCGUGUUUUGUGUGUCUGUUUCGGCCCUUCGCACAUCCGUGAGGCUUGGAUCGUGUAUCAGAUCAGUCGUGUAGGCGUGUUACAGAGAAACGGAUUGAGAGAAAGAGAGACACAGAGAGAGAGAGAGAGAGGGGGGGUGUUCUGGUGCUUUCUCUGUGGUUUUCCAUUUCAUCUCUCUAUCUCGCUCUGCACUCACCUGCUUCCCUCCUCUCUGCUUUCUGGCCCGAACCAGGGCGGUGAAUCAUACUUCCUUCUCGAGCCGGAGAGUCUAACCUCUCUCAGAGUGCAUUACAAUUAAGGUCCAUAGUAUCUGAGGUGCUGCCAGUUUUCCCUGCACCGUCAUCUCGGUCAGCUCGGAAACAACGACGACAGCUUCACUACAAGUGCGCUGUCAUUAAUUCAAUCAUAAAGGAGACAUAUUAUGCUUUUUCAGUGUUCGUUACCAUCCUUCCUGUCCCGAUACUAAUUCUGUUACCUGGAUUUUUCAUAUCGGCUGAUAUCGAUACCAGUGAAUAUAAAAGAAUAACAACUUUUAUCGUGUAUUUUAACAGCUGUACGCUACUGACCCCUUGUGGCAGUGAUUGUUAUCAUCGUAGUCUGACCUGGUUCUGCUUUGAAAAUCAAAUACAUGAAGAGAAUGAGUAACAUACAGCUUUUCUUACAGCUACUAAAUAAAACUAGUAAUAAACAACAGUUACUUCCUUUAAAUAGCUGGAAACUGAAGUUUUGCACAUGUCGCUGUUUUGCUGGUGGCACUUUCCAGUGUGAAGUGUUUACUAAUUGCCGAUAUUAAGUUCUGGCUACCGCUUCACUAUCGGUACUUCUUCGUGCCAGUGGCACUGCUGUUUUGGAGCUGUGAAAAGAAAACUGCAGUUAUAUCUGGGUUAAACAAAUAUAUUCUAAAGACGUGGUAUCGGAAUGGUACAUAGAUUUGCAUUUUCGCUAGUAUUGGAGGCGUUUCCGAUUCUGGCUGGUAUCAGUAUGGGAACAGCGCUAACGUUAGCCAUAAUUUGCAUAACGCACGCUCUCCUAAAAAGCCAAAUAAAAAGGGAGCAGAGGCCGACAUUUUCUACACUGUUGACCAAUCACAACAGAGCAGGCUGACUGGCCAAUCAGAUCAGACCUUAUCAGGAGGGCGGCCUUAAAGGAGACGGGAGCUAAAAGGGUUUCUGACGGAGGCUGAAAAGAGGAGCUGCAGCGAUGGGCAGUAUGAGGAAAGUUUUCAUGUAAAACUUUUCAAGUAAUAACACUAAUUUAAAACUGAAUACAAGCAGAUUAUGUCUCCUUUGAUUGUUCGAUUUACAAAUGGUAAAGUCUACGGCUGAGCUGAGGUAUGAAACCACAACGUCUGCCUCUCUCAGAUCUUAUUUAACAGUCGAAUCAUUGCUUUGGCCGCUGGCUUUUUUAAUAAUUCACAUCUGUAAACAAAGCAUGCAAGUAUUCUGUAAGAGGUGGCUGCUCGUGAGAUAGAAUAGAUCACAGUUUGUCAACGCUUAAUAAAAAUCUGUUAAAUGUCGACCACCGCUUGUUGUCCCCGAAGUCGUGUUUUUUAAGUAAAGAGAGAAAGCUGCCUCUUGGAGCAUCUUGAAUUAGUUUAAAAGUUUGCCCCAGAUCCCAGAACACAUUUAGUCUUCUUGAAAAUAUUAAUUCCUAAUAUCAAAAACGUGUGUGUGUGUGUGUUGCAGAUUUGUAAGUCGGGGCUGUCCCUCGAGUCGCUGCUUCAUAUCUACGGUAUCUUUCCAAGGCUCUUUGUUAAUUACACUACCUGCAGAUAUUGAGCCACGCGUCUAUCUGCCGCUGCAUCUGAACCACUUUUUCUUGUUCUCUCGAAUCUUUUUGUUUCAGUUUCUUCGACGGAAAUGUUUCUUGGAAAUGCCUUCGUGGGAUCGCCGCUCGCACCACAUCCACGACAACGGAGAAUCACAACUUGUUACACAGGGUUGAUUUCCCUUUGGGAUUUUCUACUAAUAUUGAUUUUAUUACUUUUUUUCGUAAAGGUUCCCUCGAGGGUGUUUGGCGCCACAGGAAGUCCGUUUUGUGCCCCCCUUGGAAGCUGGUUUCAGAUGGUGGCUUAGAGUAUCGUCACCUAUCUAGCACCAUUUGAAAUCAGUGUUCUUGGGGUGGGAUGUGUUUCACUGAGCAGCAGCAGCAGGAAGCCACGAAGUGUCACAGCAGGUUUCUAGUGAUGAAGGUAAGAGAGACAACUUCACCUGUCCAGCGCCGCUCCUUGAAGCGCCACCUAGUGGUCAACAAACCGUGGAUCUGCAGCGACAGCUCAAGCUCUUUGUCCUAUCUCCAAGGUUGACCGAUUUCUUUUGGUGUUCAGAGUCUACUAUUGUUUCUAGCACCAUUUGAAAUCGGUUACAGUGAAGGACAGAUCUCGUCUCACCUUGAUGUGGAUUUUGCAACCAAGCCGUCUUCAUUUUACUGCUGAAACUUCGAAGUUAAACAGUUUAAAAUCGAGGCAAAGUAGUAAUUUAGUUCUCAAACAGUUCAGGAUCGCUCAUUGAAAUCUAGAUUGUUAAUUUUACAGGGGAGGGAGAAGAAUCAAGAUUUUUUUCUUUGCUUAAAUGAUGAGAAUGACAAAGAUUCUAUAUUUUAGUGUUAAUGGCAAAAUGCAUUGUUUUAUAUCUAUCUCUUUUGUAAAUGGUUCUUCUCACAGUAAUGCAACAGGUGUCAGGUAAAAAAAAGUACAAUAUUUGCACUUGACGAAAUGUUGGUUUAAAAGUAUUUUAAGCAAAUUUGAGUAAUUGGAUUGUUUGACACUGUAAAAUAAACUAUUGCAUCAGA